This 180-nucleotide ribosomal RNA is filed under the name uncultured bacterium. RNAcentral describes it as "partial 16S ribosomal RNA". It matches the Rfam family "Bacterial small subunit ribosomal RNA", at positions 1320 to 1500 of the family's 1533-position model. The record is from RNAcentral.
AUGAAGCUGGAAUUGCUAGUAAUGGCAGGUCAGCAUACUGCCGUGAAUACGUUCCCGGGCCUUGUACACACCGCCCGUCACACCAUGAGAGUUGGGAAUACCCGAAGCCUGUGAGCUAACUUAUAGAGGCAGNAGUCGAAGGUAGAAUCAAUGAUUGGGGUGAAGUCGUAACAAGGUAGC